AGUGAACGCUGGCGGUAGGCCUAACACAUGCAAGUCGAACGGCAGCACAGUAAGAGCUUGCUCUUACGGGUGGCGAGUGGCGGACGGGUGAGGAAUACAUCGGAAUCUACUUUUUCGUGGGGGAUAACGUAGGGAAACUUACGCUAAUACCUCAUACGACCUACGGGUGAAAGCAGGGGAUCUUCGGACCUUGCGCGAUUGAAUGAGCCGAUGUCGGAUUAGCUAGUUGGCGGGGUAAAGGCCCACCAAGGCGACGAUCCGUAGCUGGUCUGAGAGGAUGAUCAGCCACACUGGAACUGAGACACGGUCCAGACUCCUACGGGAGGCAGCAGUGGGGAAUAUUGGACAAUGGGCGCAAGCCUGAUCCAGCCAUACCGCGUGGGUGAAGAAGGCCUUCGGGUUGUAAAGCCCUAUUGUUGGGAAAGAAAAGCAGCAGGUUAAUACCCCGCUGUUCUGACGGUACCCAAAGAAUAAGCACCGGCUAACUUCGUG
RNAcentral lists this ribosomal RNA (492 nucleotides) under uncultured bacterium. Its description in RNAcentral is "partial 16S ribosomal RNA". It matches the Rfam family "Bacterial small subunit ribosomal RNA", at positions 29 to 507 of the family's 1533-position model. The record is from RNAcentral.